RNAcentral lists this long non-coding RNA (5073 nucleotides) under Sus scrofa (pig). RNAcentral describes it as "lncRNA (ENSSSCG00065015620.1)". The record is from RNAcentral. Lineage: Eukaryota; Metazoa; Chordata; Mammalia; Artiodactyla; Suidae.
UUUUUUUCUUUUUUUGUCUUUUUUUUAGGGCCGCACCCAUGGCAUAUGGAGGUUCCCAGGCUAGGGGUUGCAUUGGAGCCUUAGCAACCAGCCUACGCCACAGCCACAGCCACAGCAACACCUUGUCUGUGGCCUACACCAAAGCUUGGGGCAACGCCAGAUCCUUAACCCACUGAGCAGGGCCAGGGAUCCAACCUGCGUCCUCACGGACACUAGUCAGGUUUGUUACCGCUGAGCCACAAUGGGAACUCCAGUAUUCUGCUUUUUGAUCUUGAUGCUGGUUACAGGGUCCCGCUGUCUUUGUGAAAACUCAUCAAGCACUUAUGACCUGUAUGCUUUUCUGCAUGUAUGUUUUACUUAAACCAGAUGUUUAACGUUAAAAUAAAAUGUCCAGGACAGUGCCUGCCAAUACUGAGGGCGCAGCAAUGUGAGUUCUUUACUUCUCUCUCUCCUCUUCACCUCCCUGUGGAUAUCUGGAUGCCCUCGCUCUGGGCACUGGACAUCCAGUGAUGUUCCAGGGUCUGAGGUCAGGGAGUUGCUGGGUCAUUAUGGGAUGCCCAGAGUCGGAGACCUGGAGGGUCUGGGAGACUUCCUGCCUAAGGCAAGGCCAAGAGAAAACCAGUCCUUCGCUGCAGCUGCUCAGGGGGUUCAGAGGGACCUGCGCCCUCCCUGCUUCUGCAGGUGUCACAGCCGGCUGCCAUACAGUGGGCAGAGUUCAUAGCCAGGAGACCGAGGUUCCGAUUUAGGCUCUGCUGGAAACGCGCUCUGCCCCUGGGCAAGUCAUUUAGAACACUCCACUUGCCCAUCACAAAGUUCUUAAUGACCUAACUAGGCAGGAGUGCACUGUAAGCUACAAGUGUGAUGUAAACACGGAGCCUUAUGAAUAUUAAUGAGGUGUGAAAGCACAGAGAAAAGACCCAGCACAGCUAGACAGGGCACAGUCCUGGGGAGAACAUACCGUUAUUUGCUCUCCCUUGUCUCGGAGUUUCGUGCUCCCUCCAUUCACUUGGCUCUGCUUUAAAAAAAACCACUUGGGCUUAAAUUUUGGUGGGUUAUGUGAUGGUUUCUGCAAUAUCCUAAUAGACAAGGUGGCUGCCUGCCGCUUCAAGAUGUGGGCUUUCUGGAAGCCCGCUUGUGAGUACUGCUUCCUAGAAUUCCCCGGGUCUAAAAGCAGCACCAGCUGGUUGGUUUCAUCAACAGUGAAGGCCCUUGCCUUUGUGAGCAGUCAGCUUUCAUAUGGGAGGGAUCCCAGAAGACGUGGAUGGCUUUUUUUGUUGUUGCCAAAUCCCUUCCACGACACCCCGACAAGCUCUUGUCCUGCCUCUGAAAAUCUGCAGUGACAGUGAACUUGCUAAUUUCCACAUACUGCCUUCCACGGAGAGAUCUUGAAAAGAGAUCCUGGCUUCAUCACCGGGGUGAGACUCAUAAAUAAGAGGCUGCACCAUGAUGUUCAGAGGAAGAGGCGCUGGGAGGAAAGGGUUUGAUAAGCGCAGAAGAUGCUGCUCAGCCCCUGAUGGAAAAGGAUGUCUGUGGACCACACUGCAGAGCCGGGUCCCUCUCGGCCUCCCUGCCACGUGGAGCCAAGAUGCCCUGCCUAGAAGGCAACAUGCUGAGGAUGCCUGACCUAGGAUAGGAGUGAGACAAGGCUCGGCAGAGAUAAGCUCUUGUUUCCAUCACAUCCACGGCAGGAAGAAGGCUGGGCUGCAGGGCAGUAAUCCUGCCCAGUGCAGCUGCUUUCAAAUCUCCCGUCCCAGGACCCUUUGACACUGUGAAAGACUAUUGAAGCCCUUGAAGAGCUUUCCUGGGUUUUAUCCAUGAAUAUUAAAAAUUAAAACUAAAAAUGUUCUUAAAUAUUUAUUCAGUAAUUUAUUUAAAAGUGUCAGGUUGCCUGGAUCUGAAUCCCAUUUCUACCACCUAAAAAUUGUUCAGUGUUAGCUGUUAAACUCUUAUUGCAGCAGGUACUCAAUAUAGGCUUGAUUGAUUUUAUUUCUAAAGCCUGAGAUCUGGGACCUCCCACCAUAGGAUGCAAAUCUGUGCCUCAGUUUCAAUGAUGAGCUCUAUAGGUUGAUAUCACUGCCAUAGAAAUAUACGCUAUUGUUGCUUCAGUCUUGCAAAUGGGAUCAGAAUGGUACAGAUCCUGAUAACAGAAUGGGCCUUUUCUAUCGAGAUAUUGACUUUUUGGCCAGAGGACAAAUUCUCCCUGUUGCUGAGAGACGUUGGCCAGCUUUUUAACCUCUCUGAGUUUCAUUGUGCCUGUUCUGUAAAAUGAGAUUAUUAAUAAUGCCUGCCUCAUAAGUUUGCUGUGAGAAUUUACUAAGAUAAGGCACUUGGCCCCUCCCCUGGCGCAUAGUCCGCACUCCAUAAAUGUUACCUAUUAGUAAUUUUAACCAAUAGCAGGGCUGAGUCACUUUCCUGGGGCUUAAGCUUCUAGAAAUGCCACAAAUGUAUUUGCUAUUGACACAAAAAUGACUCUCUGGACAAACCAACUUGUGGGAUUUUAGGUCAGAAUUAUUGAAUUAUACGUCUAGUACUUUCUUUAGGUUCUGAGAUCACCCGAGGCAAAAAACACAACAAGUCAGGGUUUGCAGACCCAUUUGGGGUGUGUCUGCUCCUUGGAAAAUGGCUACAUCUGCAGGUCCAUUAGGUCCCCACAGGCUCUGUCACACACCUGCAGCCCCAUCUCAUCUGCCAACAGGAGGGUUGUGAUUGGAUCUAUCUGGCUGUCCUCUAAAGUGUGGAAGGCCCUGGAGCCCCAGCAAGCCCAACCCAAGGGGCCCUUCUAGCGGGGGCUAGUCAUGGUUUCUGGAGCUGAGGCUAAUGGAAUUCACAGCAAAGACAGAAAAUUCCAUUUUCAGCAAUGCUCCAGAUCACUUCCACUUUUUCCCCUUCAUGAUUUUAUGAUCUAAAUUCUUCCCAAUAGCUACUGCACUUGUGUGUGUGUGUGUGUGUGUGUGUGUGUGUGUGUGUGUGUGUGUGUGGUGUGUCCUGAGAAUCAUUUACAGAUAGUCCCCCAAAUUAAAAGACACAUUUCUUCUGGUUCUGAGAAUUCAUUUUUUUUAUCACAGCCCUGUGACCCUCUAUUGUGCAACUGGCCAUUAUCGGCUGUGUGGUCAAGUCACUGUUAUUGAUUGAACCCCACCUGUUUGCCAAACAUUGUGAAUAGAUAUAAGGGUGAAAGGGAGGCCCACUUCUGGGCUGGACCAAGGAGCCCUGCCUCCAGUGACAUGGAGACCUCUGUGCCAACAAACGACAGCAGAUCAGAGGGCAGGCAGGGUGGGGGAGGGCACCUGGCCCAGCUGCAGGAGGAGGAGGAUGGAGUGGUGACCAGGCUGCAUCCUCCAGGUUGACAAGGACCGUGUCCCCUCUGCUUCGCUCUCCCCUCCUCCCCUCUCUCAUGGCUGGCUCCACGCAUCAAUCACUUUUUGUUUCAGAUGUCACCUCUGCAGGAAGGAAGGUGCUCCUGUGCAUUCAAUUUGCCACUGUCCCCUGGGCAUGUUUUGUUUUGUGUACUGAUUCUUUUGGGCGAUGCCCGUGGCAUGCGGAAGUUCCUAGCAUGGAUCCUUUAAACAGUGGGUUUAUGUGAUUACUUGGACAUCGUGUUUUUCCAGCCCAGCAGACACCCACUGAGCAUUUAUUUACUGAAUGACCAGCAGAGCCUCUAAGUGAAAAUGAAUGAACAACCUGUUCAUAGAUGUUAAAUGAUAUCAUUAGUCAGCAUCAUGUGGAUAAUUUGGGAAAAUUUUAAAAUAGUUAAUAUGAUAGAUGUAAUUACUGUCUUCAACAUAUCAGAAUUUUUUCAUGAGAAGAUGAGUAGGAGGCUUCUAGGAUUACAGGAUAAGGUGGACUAAAAUUAGCAUGAAAGAAACUUUGUAGCAAGGCUCUAUCAGUUAGGAACAUACAUUUGUAUAAAGACUUUAGUUGUAAAGACUUUGGGGAAAGGUGACCAUUCGUUUUGAUGGUUUAAUCCCUUCACAGGCCUGAAUGCAGGAAGCUCAACCAGAUGUGGGAGAUUUAAUAUUAUAGGGUAGCCAGCCAGCCAUGCCCCAGAGACUAUUUCCAGGAUCUUCAUUCACAUAUAGCUAUGUGCAUAUAUUACAUUUCUAUAUGUAUAUAUGCCUAUAUACAUAUGUUAUAUAUUUUCAUAUUCAUACACACAUACGUAGGAAUGGUUAAAAAUAGGGAGAGAUGGUUUAGCCAAUCCAGUUUGAGCUGCACAGGUACUUCUGAUAAGUUAACUAUCUCCUCUGUCCUGGUUUUGAGGCACAUUUGCAAUGAUGCACUCUGGAACCUUCUUGGCGCUAUUAAAUAGUGAUUUCAUUAGCUGGCAAAAGUGCCAUGGACAUUGGAACCAUUAUUGUGGAUGGGGGCCCUAUUUUCAUAUUUCUGGGGAUGUGUCCAUCCAGGAAAUAUAUUGAGCACCUGGCCCAAGGUGAGGAAGCAGGCGUGCAGAGGGCUUGGACUAAUGAUGGAAACCGACAUACCUAACAGGCUACUGAACAAAGCAGUGGUGCUGAAGUGGAGUUAGGGGAGCCGUGGAAGGGGCUGUCGAUUGGGGCUCAAGAAGGCUUUCUGGAGAUGGUUCCAUCAGCUAGGAUUUGAAGGCAGAGCAGGGGCUUGCUGGAUAUAGAGUAGGAAGGGGUGGGGUUCAGGGAGCGAGGAUGGCCUUGCCAGGCAGAAGGUAGGAGAGAAAAAAAACGCCUACAGAACUGAAGAUGCACGGAUGUGGGCUGAAGCUGGAUGAGGCUGCAGAAGCAGGCAGAACCCCAUCAGCAGGGACCUCGGGCUUGAAUCCAGGGAGGUUGAACCCUGUUCUGAAAGUUAAGGGGUUUCUUGGAUGGAUUGCCACAGACCUGCCUCUUCGAAAGAAGCCUUUGGCAGCUGUGAAGAUGCAUCAAGAUGGGAGGAGGCCCCAGCUUUUAGCAAUAGCUCCAAGGAGUGGAGACCAAGCAGGAGAGAUAGAGAUGGGAGGGAGCAAAAAGAGAAAGGCCUCAGGCUGUGGGAGACUCAUAGGAUGUGACGAGGAGGUGAGAACCACUGUGUGCCAGGCCCCGAUCUAGGCUCCAGGGCUCCAUG